This 72-nucleotide transfer RNA is filed under the name Ascocoryne sarcoides NRRL 50072. RNAcentral's name for it is "tRNA-Arg (TCT) (tRNA-Arg-TCT-1-1)". It matches the Rfam family "tRNA". Rfam says of the family: Transfer RNA (tRNA) molecules are approximately 80 nucleotides in length. Lineage: Eukaryota; Fungi; Ascomycota; Leotiomycetes; Helotiales; Gelatinodiscaceae. The record is from RNAcentral.
GUCUCACUGGCGCAAUGGUAGCGCGCAAGACUUCUAAUCUUGAGGUUGUGGGUUCGAGUCCCACGUGGGAUG